Molecule: ribosomal RNA, 301 nt
Filed under: uncultured bacterium
Lineage: Bacteria
Description: bacterial SSU rRNA
Rfam family: Bacterial small subunit ribosomal RNA
Source: RNAcentral
AUUACUAAGAGAUGGUCCCGCGGUGUAUUAGUUAGUUGGUGAGGUAAUGGCUCACCAAGACAAUGAUACAUAGCCGAGUUGAGAGACUGACCGGCCACAAUGGGACUGAGACACGGCCCAUACUCCUACGGGAGGCAGCAGUAGGGAAUCUUCCACAAUGGACGAAAGUCUGAUGGAGCAACGCCGCGUGUGUGAUGAAGGGUUUCGGCUCGUAAAACACUGUUGUAAGAGAAGAAUGACAUUGAGAGUAACUGUUCAAUGUGUGACGGUAUCUUACCAGAAAGGAACGGCUAAAUACGUG